This 253-nucleotide ribosomal RNA is filed under the name uncultured bacterium. RNAcentral's name for it is "partial 16S ribosomal RNA". It matches the Rfam family "Bacterial small subunit ribosomal RNA", at positions 524 to 776 of the family's 1533-position model. RNAcentral also lists the same sequence under 1 other name. The record is from RNAcentral.
UACGAAGGUCCCGAGCGUUGUUCGGAAUCACUGGGCGUAAAGGGAGCGUAGGCGGCGCGGUAAGUCGGAUGUGAAAUCCCGGGGCUCAACCCCGGAACUGCAUCUGAUACUGCCGUGCUAGAGUAAUGGAGGGGUAGCUGGAAUUAUCGGUGUAGCAGUGAAAUGCGUAGAUAUCGAUAGGAACACUCGUGGCGAAAGCGAGCUACUGGACAUUUACUGACGCUGAGGCUCGAAGGCUAGGGGAGCGAAAGGG